CACUCCUGCGGGAGGCAGCAGUGGGGAAUAUUGCACAAUGGGCGCAAGCCUGAUGCAGCCAUGCCGCGUGUAUGAAGAAGGCCUUCGGGUUGUAAAGUACUUUCAGCGGGGAGGAAGGCGAUAAGGUUAAUAACCUUGUCGAUUGACGUUACCCCCAGAAGAAGCACCGGCUAACUCCGUGCCAGCAGCCGCGGUAAUACGGAGGGUGCAAGCGUUAAUCGGAAUUACUGGGCGUAAAGCGCACGCAGGCGGUCUGUCAAGUCGGAUGUGAAAUCCCCGGGCUCAACCUGGGAACUGCAUUCGAAACUGGCAGGCUAGAGUCUUGUAGAGGGGGGUAGAAUUCCAGGUGUAGCGGUGAAAUGCGUAGAGAUCUGGAGGAAUACCGGUGGCGAAGGCGGCCCCCUGGACAAAGACUGACGCUCAGGUGCGAAAGCGUGGGGAGCAAACAGGAUUAGAAACCCGUGUAGUCCC
Molecule: ribosomal RNA, 471 nt
Filed under: uncultured organism
Description: partial 16S ribosomal RNA
Rfam family: Bacterial small subunit ribosomal RNA
Source: RNAcentral